GCGGGAGUAGCUCAGUUGGUAGAGCACUGCCUUGCCAAGGCAGUUGUCGCGGGUCCGAGUCCCGUUUCCCGCUCCA
This 76-nucleotide transfer RNA is filed under the name Clostridia bacterium. RNAcentral describes it as "tRNA-Gly". It matches the Rfam family "tRNA". From Rfam's summary of the family: Transfer RNA (tRNA) molecules are approximately 80 nucleotides in length. Their secondary structure includes four short double-helical elements and three loops (D, anti-codon, and T loops). Further hydrogen bonds mediate the characteristic L-shaped molecular structure. tRNAs have two regions of fundamental functional importance: the anti-codon, which is responsible for specific mRNA codon recognition, and the 3' end, to which the tRNAs corresponding amino acid is attached (by aminoacyl-tRNA synthetases). tRNAs cope with the degeneracy of the genetic code in two manners: having more than one tRNA (with a specific anti-codon) for a particular amino acid; and 'wobble' base-pairing, i.e. permitting non-standard base-pairing at the 3rd anti-codon position. The record is from RNAcentral. Lineage: Bacteria; Bacillati; Bacillota; Clostridia.